This 296-nucleotide ribosomal RNA is filed under the name Choledocystus hepaticus. RNAcentral describes it as "partial 18S ribosomal RNA". It matches the Rfam family "Eukaryotic small subunit ribosomal RNA", at positions 621 to 830 of the family's 1831-position model. The record is from RNAcentral. Lineage: Eukaryota; Metazoa; Platyhelminthes; Trematoda; Plagiorchiida; Plagiorchiidae.
AAAAAGCUCGUAGUUGGAUCUGGGUCGUAUGGCUACGUGCUGAUGCCUGUAUUCUCGACUUGGUCACGACUGGGUCAAGUUUGCGGUUCGGCGUCGUGGCUGUGCAGCCUUUCUGCCGUGUCUGUUUCGACAGGUGUCAAUUUAAUCGAUGGGCUUGCUCGUCGGUUGGUUGGCAUGCUUCCGGAUGCCUUUAAACGGGUGUCGGGGGCGGACGGUACGUUUACUUUGAACAAAUUUGAGUGCUCAAAGCAGGCUUGUGCCUGAAAAUUCUUGCAUGGAAUAAUGGAAUAGGACUU